This 459-nucleotide ribosomal RNA is filed under the name uncultured bacterium. RNAcentral describes it as "partial 16S ribosomal RNA". It matches the Rfam family "Bacterial small subunit ribosomal RNA", at positions 29 to 507 of the family's 1533-position model. The record is from RNAcentral.
ACGAACGCUGGCGGCGUGCUUAACACAUGCAAGUCGAGCGGUAAGGCCUCUUCGGGGGUACACGAGCUGCGAACGGGUGAGUAACACGUGGGUGACCUGCCCUCAGCUCUGGGAUAAGCCUGGGAAACUGGGUCUAAUACCGGAUAUGACCUUUCCUCGCAUGGGGUUUGGUGGAAAGUUUUUUCGGCUGGGGAUGGGCCCGCGGCCUAUCAGCUUGUUGGUGGGGUGAUGGCCUACCAAGGCGACGACGGGUAGCCGGCCUGAGAUGGCGACCGGCCACACUGGGAGGGAGACACGGCCCAGACUCCUACGGGAGGCAGCAGUGGGGAAUAUUGCGCAAUGGGCGGAAGCCUGACGCAGCGACGCAGCGUGGGGGAUGACGGCAUUCGGGUUGUAAACCUCUUUCGACCCCGACGAAUUUGGACGGUAGGGGUAGAAGAAGCACCGGCCAACUACGUG